This 509-nucleotide long non-coding RNA is filed under the name Monodelphis domestica (gray short-tailed opossum). Its description in RNAcentral is "lncRNA (ENSMODG00000032781.2)". Lineage: Eukaryota; Metazoa; Chordata; Mammalia; Didelphimorphia; Didelphidae. The record is from RNAcentral.
CUGCCCUAGACUCUAUUGCUACUCCUCCCUUCCCAGUAUUAUCCACCCACCCAGACCAGCUCCUCAUCACAAGGUUCUAUGGCAACCAGAUUCAGAAUCAAACCUAUCAAGGAUGUACUGGUGACAGCUCAAACUUGACUCUAAAGAGUCAAUUGGGGUAGCUAAGUAGAUGGCUCAGUGGAUAGAGAGCCAGGCCAAGAAAUGGCUCUAUUCCCGUAGACGUCGCUCUGGCUCUUUUGUAGGACUUGGCUCUGGCUCUCUCACAGUGAUGUGGCUCUCGCUCUGUCUCUGGACAUUGGUCUCUGUCAGCAACAUGGGCAGUGCUGGGCAGCGACUUGGCAUCUUGGCGUGAGCGUGCUAGGAGCUGUCUGGAGGUUGGUGGCCGGAGAACCCAGAACUGUGAAGAGAGGAGGCACCGGCGCGUGCUCUUUGGUGCUGAAGGACGGCGCGGACAAGCGACUGCUGCCAGCUGGAAUAAACCGGGCCAUGCUUUGAGAAAGAAACUGAUU